This 497-nucleotide ribosomal RNA is filed under the name uncultured bacterium. Its description in RNAcentral is "partial 16S ribosomal RNA". It matches the Rfam family "Bacterial small subunit ribosomal RNA", at positions 28 to 507 of the family's 1533-position model. The record is from RNAcentral.
GAUGAACGCUGGCGGCGUGCCUAAUACAUGCAAGUCGAGCGAACAGACGAGUAGCUUGCUCCUCUGACGUUAGCGGCGGACGUGUGAGUAACACGUGUAUAACCUACCUAUAAUACUGGGAUAACUUCGGGACACCGGAGCUAAUACCGGAUAAUAUAUUUAACCGCAUGGUUCAAUAAUGAAAGACGGUUUUGCUGUCACUUAUAGAUGUAUCCGCGCCGCAUUAGCUAGUUGGUAAGGUAACGGCUUACCAAGGGAACGAUGCGUAGCCGACCUGAGAGGGUGAUAGGCGACACUGGAACUGAGACACGGUCCAGACUACUACGGGAGGCAGCAGUAGGGAAUCUUCCGCAAUGGGCGAAAGCCUGACGGAGCAACGCCGAGUGAGUGAUGAAGGUCUUCGGAUCGUAAAACUCUGUUAUUAGGGAAGAACAAAUGUGUAAGUAACUAUGCACGUCUUGACGGUACCUAAUCAGAAAGCCACGGCUAACUACGUG